Molecule: long non-coding RNA, 345 nt
Filed under: Monodelphis domestica (gray short-tailed opossum)
Lineage: Eukaryota; Metazoa; Chordata; Mammalia; Didelphimorphia; Didelphidae
Description: lncRNA (ENSMODG00000038137.1)
Source: RNAcentral
AUGUUUACCGCUGGAGAGAGGAGAUGGAUUGUAGCAGCCAAUUACUACCUCACACAGCCUGAAUGGCGACCACUCGAGGACCCGCCCCGGGCCUCACUGAUGAAUCCCAGAUUGCAUUUGGCACUGCCUGCCUCCUGCCUCACCAGUGGAUCAGGGACGGGAAAACAGAAGAGGGAGGACCCAAGGGAAUCCAUAAGCUUCCCCAGAAUGAUUGCCAAAGAACACAGCAAGGAUUAAGAAUUCUGGGACCUCCCAGGUAAGUGAGCUAUAAUAUUUCUGCUCUUCGAGGUCUAAUGUUCUUUUAUCUGUCAUGUUGUCCCUGGGUGUUUGCAUAGGUGAAGGGGC